Molecule: ribosomal RNA, 255 nt
Filed under: uncultured bacterium
Lineage: Bacteria
Description: partial 16S ribosomal RNA
Rfam family: Bacterial small subunit ribosomal RNA
Source: RNAcentral
UACGAAGGGGGGCUAGCGUUGCUCGGAAUCACUGGGCGUAAAGGGCGCGUAGGCGGACUUUUAAGUCAGGGGGUGAAAUCCUGAGGCUCAACCUCAGAACUGCCUUUGAUACUGAGGGUCUCGAGACCGGUAGAGGUAAGUGGAACUGCGAGUGUAGAGGUGAAAUUCGUAGAUAUUCGCAAGAACACCAGUGGCGAAGGCGGCUUACUGGACCGGUUCUGACGCUGAGGCGCGAAAGCGUGGGGAGCAAACAGG